Molecule: small nucleolar RNA, 136 nt
Filed under: Chinchilla lanigera (long-tailed chinchilla)
Lineage: Eukaryota; Metazoa; Chordata; Mammalia; Rodentia; Chinchillidae
Description: Small nucleolar RNA SNORA70 (ENSCLAG00000019556.1)
Rfam family: Small nucleolar RNA SNORA70
About the family: snoRNA U70 seems to be exclusive to mammals and is a member of the H/ACA class of snoRNA which contain H (ANANNA) and ACA box motifs. H/ACA box snoRNAs are involved in the conversion of uridines to pseudouridines (5-ribosyluracil) a constituent of structural RNAs (transfer, ribosomal, small nuclear, and small nucleolar).
Source: Rfam by way of RNAcentral
CUGAAGCUAUUUAAGCUUACUUGACUCCUUACUUUAUAGGAGCCUGGUAUGCCAUAGCUGCAAACACCAACAUUCUUGGUUGUGUACUUAGUAUGUUGAUUGUUUGGGUUAUCCUAAGAGUCCACUGGAAACAGGG